Non-coding RNA from Caenorhabditis elegans, 200 nucleotides. The record is from Ensembl. Lineage: Eukaryota; Metazoa; Nematoda; Chromadorea; Rhabditida; Rhabditidae.
CUCUGUUCAUCAUUUUCCGCGUACUUUUGGGUGAUCUGUGUACUCCGCCCUUGCGUCCGUCGGGUCCGUGUGUGUGUGUGCGUCUGUGUGUGGUGUACCAAUACGCAUUCACGACUAAACUAUUUGAUCGCUUUUCCUAUAAGUGCGAGUUUGAGACUGUGUGUUGUGUUACUCUAUUUGCAUGUGUUCAGUAGUUUGGU